AUGUGCACGUGUGCACAGCAUUUCAUGUAUGUUCUUGGAAUUCAGUUUUACAAUGAAGGCUAUUUUAUUUCAUCACUGCUGUUACGAGGGCCAGGACAGAUACUGUGUGGGGAUGUGGACGGUGGAUGCGGGUCACCUGGAGCUCACCUGGAUGCAGAGUGCACGGAUCCUUCCAUCCCGUCUCCUCAGACAAACACAUCACACUCGGGAUGCAUGUGGCUCAAUACCCACUCUUGGCAUCCCAUACUCAUAUCCCUGACUAGUGACAGACAGCAGCGCCAGCCAAUGGGCACACAGCCUCCGCUUCGCCUGCCUCCCUACCUGCCUGCUUGCAACUUCACAAAAUCUGGGACGCUCCUGCCAACAGACGCCCUCCUAGAACCUGGCUCUCCAUUCAAACCCGGGAACCCACUUUUAAGCCCCCCCCCACAUGCCUACCCCAACUGUGAUGAAGCCAACCGCGCUCCCAAACCACGGUUAGGGUUAAUGUCCCACUUGGGAAGCAUGGUCUGGUGCCCAUGUGGACACGGACCAAAAGGGGACAUGCGAGUCUGCUCCGAUCCGGACACUGUCCACGACGGAACAUGCGAGUCUGCUCCUUUCCGGACUCUGUCCACGACGGAACAUGCGAGUCUGCUCCGAUCUGGACACUGUCCACGACGGAACAUGCGAGUCUGCUCCGAUAUGGACACUGUCCACGACGGAACAUGCGAGUCUGCUCCGAUCUGGACACUGUCCACGACGGAACAUGCGCGUCUGCUCCUUUCUGGACACUGUCCACGACGGAACAUGCGAGUCUGCUCCUUUCCGGACUCUGUCCACGACGGAACAUGCGAGUCUGCUCCGAUCUGGACACUGUCCACGACGGAACAUGCGAGUCUGCUCCGAUCUGGACACUGUCCACGACGGAACAUGCGAGUCUGCUCCGAUCUGGACACUGUCCACGACGGAACAUGCGAGUCUGCUCCGAUCUGGACACUGUCCACGACGGAACAUGCGCGUCUGCUCCUUUCUGGACACUGUCCACGACGGAACAUGCGAGUCUGCUCCGAUCCGGACACUGUCCACGACGGAACAUGCGAGUCUGCUCCGAUCUGGACACUGUCCACGACGGAACAUGCGAGUCUGCUCCGAUCUGGACACUGUCCACGACGGAACAUGCGCGUCUGCUCCUUUCUGGACACUGUCCACGACGGAACAUGCGAGUCUGCUCCGAUCCGGACACUGUCCACGACGGAACAUGCGAGUCUGCUCCGAUCCGGACACUGUCCACCAGGCAAGCUGCAGGUGUGCUCCCAACUGUACACUGUUCUUCAUAAUGAUAGUUGUAUGUCAUUGCAGGAGGGACAGCGCAGUGUUUUAAAGGUUUUUCAAAAACACUCUGGUACCUCUAUGUCACUGAGGCUGCAGCCCUCUGUUACAAAAAGUGUAGCCCUACACUUUUCGAAAUCUUCCCUAACCCUAACCCUAACCCUGCAGAUACAAAAGUACAAGUGA
Molecule: long non-coding RNA, 1497 nt
Filed under: Betta splendens (Siamese fighting fish)
Lineage: Eukaryota; Metazoa; Chordata; Actinopteri; Anabantiformes; Osphronemidae
Description: lncRNA (ENSBSLG00000021758.1)
Source: RNAcentral